Molecule: ribosomal RNA, 549 nt
Filed under: uncultured bacterium
Lineage: Bacteria
Description: bacterial SSU rRNA
Rfam family: Bacterial small subunit ribosomal RNA
Source: RNAcentral
UGGCGGCGUGCCUAACACAUGCAAGUCGAACGAGAAAGUGGAGCAAUCCAUGAGUAAAGUGGCGACCGGGUGAGUAACACGUGACUAACCUACCCUCGAGUGGGGAAUAACUCCGGGAAACCGGGGCUAAUACCGCAUAACAUCGCAAGAUCAAAGCAGCAAUGCGCUUGAGGAGGGGGUCGCGGCUGAUUAUCUAGUUGGCGGGGUAACGGCCCACCAAGGCGAAAAUCGGUAUCCGGCCUGAGAGGGCGCACGGACACACUGGAACUGAAACACGGUCCAGACUCCUACGGGAGGCAGCAGUGGGGAAUUUUGCGCAAUGGGGGAAACCCUGACGCAGCAACGCCGCGUGGAGGAUGAAGCCCUUCGGGGCGUAAACUCCUUUCGACUCGGACGAUAAUGACGGUACGAGUGGAAGAAGCACCGGCUAACUCUGUGCCAGCAGCCGCGGUAAUACAGAGGGUGCGAGCGUUGUUCGGAAUUAUUGGGCGUAAAGGGCGCGUAGGCGGUGUGGUAAGUCACCUGUGAAAUCUCCUGGCUUAACUGGGA